Molecule: ribosomal RNA, 401 nt
Filed under: Rhinella margaritifera (mitred toad)
Lineage: Eukaryota; Metazoa; Chordata; Amphibia; Anura; Bufonidae
Also listed under: 1 other name
Description: partial 16S ribosomal RNA
Rfam family: Bacterial large subunit ribosomal RNA
Source: RNAcentral
CUUGAAUUUUAUAAGAGGUCCAGCCUGCCCAGUGACUCUGUUCAACGGCCGCGGUAUCCUAACCGUGCGAAGGUAGCGUAAUCACUUGUUCUUUAAAUGAGGACUAGUAUGAAUGGCACUACGAAGGUUAUACUGUCUCCUUUUUCUAAUCAGUGAAAUUAAUUUUCCCGUGAAGAAGCGGAAAUAUAACUAUAAGACGAGAAGACCCUAUGGAGCUUUAAACAACCCAGCAAUUACUUCUAAAAAUUUUAAAUUUCAGAAUAUUCAUUUUUUAAGUAAUAUGUCUGCAAGUUUUUGGUUGGGGUGACCAUGGAGAAUAACUUAACCUCCAUAUUGAAUGAACUCCAUUCUAAGCUGAAAAUUACCAAUUAAAGCAUCAACACACUGACAUUAUUGACCCA